ACGAACGCUGGCGGCGUGUCUUAAGCAUGCAAGUUGAGCGGCAAGGGGGAGCAAUCCCCCCUAGAGCGGCGGACUGGUGAGUAACACGUGGGUGACCUGCCUUUGUCAUGGGGAUAGCCAUUAGAAAUAGUGGGUAAUACCGAAUACGCUUGCACACGUAGAGGUGUGUAAGGAAAGGCGCUACGGCGCCGGACGAAGAUGGGCCCGCGUCCCAUUAGCUAGUUGGUGAGGUAACGGCCCACCAAGGCGAUGAUGGGUAGGCGGCCUGAGAGGGUGUACGCCCACAUUGGGACUGAGAUACGGCCCAAACUCCUACGGGAGGCAGCAGCUAAGAAUAUUCCGCAAUGGACGAAAGUCUGACGGAGCGACGCCGCGUGGAUGACGAAGGCCGAAAGGUUGUAAAAUCCUUUUGCUGGGGAAGAUAAUGACGGUACCUCUUGAAUAAGCACCGGCUAACUCCGU
This 462-nucleotide ribosomal RNA is filed under the name uncultured bacterium. RNAcentral describes it as "bacterial SSU rRNA". It matches the Rfam family "Bacterial small subunit ribosomal RNA", at positions 29 to 506 of the family's 1533-position model. The record is from RNAcentral.